UACAGAGGGUGCGAGCGUUAAUCGGAAUUACUGGGCGUAAAGCGUGCGUAGACGGUUAUGUAAGUCGGAUGUGAAAGCCCCGGGCUUAACCUGGGAAUGGCAUUCGAGACUGCAUAGCUAGGAUGCGGAAGAGGGAAGUGGAAUUUCCGGUGUAGCGGUGAAAUGCGUAGAUAUCGGAAGGAACACCAGUGGCGAAGGCGGCUUCCUGGCCUGUUCUUGACGCUGAGGCGCGAAAGCUAGGGGAGCAAACGGG
This 253-nucleotide ribosomal RNA is filed under the name uncultured bacterium. RNAcentral describes it as "partial 16S ribosomal RNA". It matches the Rfam family "Bacterial small subunit ribosomal RNA", at positions 524 to 776 of the family's 1533-position model. The record is from RNAcentral.